This 2023-nucleotide long non-coding RNA is filed under the name Fragaria vesca (wild strawberry). RNAcentral describes it as "long non-coding RNA (FVES_LNC003689)". The record is from RNAcentral. Lineage: Eukaryota; Viridiplantae; Streptophyta; Magnoliopsida; Rosales; Rosaceae.
AUAUCUUAUUCAUACAGAGUUCUUUAUACUAUUGUCGACAUUACCCAUUGGUAUUUACUGAUUUCAGGUUAUGACAAAGUUGAUCCCUUUUAUGUUUCCGCAAGCCUAAACCGAGCUUCUAAAUUGUGAACUUGAUUUCAAAACAAAAUUGCUUACUCAACUGUUUGUUUGGUUUUCUUACUAAAUGGUAUGGGUUGUCUUUUCGACUCAAACUUAUGUAGUUGCACUUGAGUCCACUUCUCUCCCCUUAAUCGUUGUUUAAAGGCGUGCUUAAUUUGCUGAAGUUAUUCUAAGAAAGAUACUCCUACUUUUACUAUAUCUCAAUGCUUUGAAUUAUAGUUUUGAGUAAAUGCUGUACUGUUGGUUCAUUAUUAAUCAUGGCUCUUCUCCAUUGCCCCUCAGGUACUCUUCAUGUUGUGCGGUUAUUUCCACAUACGUGAUUCAAAACAAAUAGCAAAACAAAGCUUUAUGUCAUGUAGAGUUAUCAUUUUCUUCAGAUUCAGGAAAUAGUCAAGUCUGACUAAUGUAUCUAUUGCAGAAGAAAAUCGCACAAACAUACAUUUACAGGUCACUUUGAGGCUUCAUUUGGAAUGGCCUUGAAGCUGUAAAGCUGAUGGGAUGGUACUAUGGUAGGCUUCUAUGUCAUAAUCUGAUCGAAAUUCUCUGUUCAUGGCUGUUCGUCUCACAUAUGCCCUUAAAAAGUAUUGGUUAUUUUGGUGUACCGAGGUUGGACUGUUGGAGCAUAUGUGGUACCAAUCAAAGAAAGGGUAAUGACAAGCUGGUAGGGUGGCCAUGACAGAUCAAAGAAAGGGUAAUUUACUUGUAGAUCGACAUGAUGCAGCUGCUUCAUUUACUAUAGUUUCCAGCCACUCGGCACUAGGAGAUUAAGUCCUUUUUCAGAGGAUUGGGCAAGUACUCAUGCAUCUAAUUAAUUCGGAGCCACUCAAUCUAACUCUCUAAACAACAUUUGUAUACAUGCUGAUACAAAUUUGCCUGUAUACUGAUCUAUACUUGUGCAGAGAGAAUAACCACUGUCUUUUCAGUUUUCACUGAAUGAUAUCAAUACUUUUACAAGGAGGAAGCUCAAAACUCUAAGUUUAUACAUGUACUCAACAAGUUGCACAGCAUCAAUUUGCAUUUCAGAUUCUAACACAGAAAUUGGUACGCGGAGAUAUGAGAAACCUUGGUCUAGAAGUUUCAAGACAGUUCCAUCUGCAAGAGGUAUGUGUCUUGCUAUUGCUCAAGUUCUUUUCUCCACGUUUUCAUUUUUGUUUAGUUCCUAAAUUCAUUUUCUGGAACCAUUGCAGAGAUUAAAACGUCAGGUUCGGGAAUACCAAGCAUAUCUGAUAAAAAUAGUUCAGAUCUCUCUAGGAAAAAAAAAUUAGCAGCUCCAGCAAUGUCUCUGAGUAGUGAACUUUGCCUGUUUAAUUUCACAACUGCAUGUGGACACAAGGAUAUUGGUGUUCAAGGGUAGCUUGUUCAAUGGGGGUUGUGGUACUCUUUUUCCCUUAGCCCAGGAUUUUGUCCCACUGGGUUUUAACUGGGCAAGGUUUUAACGAGGCCACUAAUUAGUCCCCAUCUAUGUUGUAAUCCUUUCUUAUCUUAAUGAAAUCCAUAGAAGCACGGGAGUCCAAAAUUGAUAGUUUGUUUUUAACUUGAAUCAUUGUAUAUUUCGAGUCUCGAUGGAGUCUCAAAGGUAGGAGUCAAGUUUUUGGGAAUAGAACAAGGGCAAACCUCGUCUUCCAUUUUCGUAUCAUUCCCCAAGCUCAAACAACUCACCGUCGAUUACAUGAGCUCAAUGGGAAGAAUGGGAAGGAGUGGAAGAGGAGAAUUCUGAGAAUAAUGCAAUCAUGCCCUGCCUCUCUCAGUUCACAGUGCAUUGGUGCAAGCACCUAAAAGCAUGAUCAUAACAAAAUACAUAAAUGCAAAAGUAACUGGACAUGUAACUAAUAAAUGCAUAUUUAGAUGAUUAUGUAACUAUGUAAUUGACAAUGUAACUAGCAAUGUAACUAUCUAUGUAACU